UUGGCUCAGGAUGAACGCUGGCGGCAUGCCUUACACAUGCAAGUCGAACGGCAGCAUGAUCUAGCUUGCUAGAUUGAUGGCGAGUGGCGAACGGGUGAGUAAUACAUCGGAACGUGCCCUGUAGUGGGGGAUAACUAGUCGAAAGAUUAGCUAAUACCGCAUACGACCUGAGGGUGAAAGUGGGGGACCGCAAGGCCUCAUGCUAUAGGAGCGGCCGAUGUCUGAUUAGCUAGUUGGUGAGGUAAAGGCUCACCAAGGCGACGAUCAGUAGCUGGUCUGAGAGGACGAUCAGCCACACUGGGACUGAGACACGGCCCAGACUCCUACGGGAGGCAGCAGUGGGGAAUA
RNAcentral lists this ribosomal RNA (348 nucleotides) under uncultured rumen bacterium. RNAcentral describes it as "bacterial SSU rRNA". It matches the Rfam family "Bacterial small subunit ribosomal RNA", at positions 19 to 363 of the family's 1533-position model. The record is from RNAcentral.